Molecule: ribosomal RNA, 204 nt
Filed under: uncultured bacterium
Lineage: Bacteria
Description: partial 16S ribosomal RNA
Rfam family: Bacterial small subunit ribosomal RNA
Source: RNAcentral
AGCGCAGGUGGUUUAUUAAGUCUGGUGUAAAAGGCAGUGGCUCAACCAUUGUAUGCAUUGGAAACUGGUAGACUUGAGUGCAGGAGAGGAGAGUGGAAUUCCAUGUGUAGCGGUGAAAUGCGUAGAUAUAUGGAGGAACACCGGUGGCGAAAGCGGCUCUCUGGCCUGUAACUGACACUGAGGCUCGAAAGCUGGGAGCAAACA